ACAAACGCUGGCGGGGUGCAUGAGACAUGCAAGUCGAACGGGGUUGAGCGGGCUUGCUCGAUCAACCUAGUGGCGGACGGCUGAGUAACGCGUAGGUGACCUACCCGGAAGUGGGGAAUAACUGCCCGAAAGGGUGGCUAAUACCGCAUGUGGUCGGCGAUUCAGUUCGCCGCCCAAAGCCGCAAGGCGCUUCCGGCGGGGCCUGCGUCCGAUUAGCUAGUUGGUGGGGUAAUGGCUCACCAAGGCGACGAUCGGUAGCUGGUCUGAGAGGAUGAUCAGCCAGACUGGGACUGAGAACGGCCCAGACUCCUACGGGAGGCAGCAGUCGGGAAUUUUGCCCAAUGGACGAAAGUCUGAGGCAGC
Molecule: ribosomal RNA, 363 nt
Filed under: uncultured bacterium
Lineage: Bacteria
Description: bacterial SSU rRNA
Rfam family: Bacterial small subunit ribosomal RNA
Source: RNAcentral